This 28-nucleotide non-coding RNA is filed under the name Homo sapiens (human). The record is from RNAcentral. Lineage: Eukaryota; Metazoa; Chordata; Mammalia; Primates; Hominidae.
CNCUGGAGACAGUACCUUACUGGUUGGA